UUAAGCGACUAAGCGUACACGGUGGAUGCCCUGGCAGUCAGAGGCGAUGAAGGACGUGCUAAUCUGCGAUAAGCGUCGGUAAGGUGAUAUGAACCGUUAUAACCGGCGAUUUCCGAAUGGGGAAACCCAGUGUGUUUCGACACACUAUCAUUAACUGAAUCCAUAGGUUAAUGAGGCGAACCGGGGGAACUGAAACAUCUAAGUACCCCGAGGAAAAGAAAUCAACCGAGAUUCCCCCAGUAGCGGCGAGCGAACGGGGAGCAGCCCAGAGCCUGAAUCAGUGUGUGUGUUAGUGGAAGCGUCUGGAAAGGCGCGCGAUACAGGGUGACAGCCCCGUACACAAAAAUGCACAUAUUGUGAGCUCGAUGAGUAGGGCGGGACACGUGGUAUCCUGUCUGAAUAUGGGGGGACCAUCCUCCAAGGCUAAAUACUCCUGACUGACCGAUAGUGAACCAGUACCGUGAGGGAAAGGCGAAAAGAACCCCGGCGAGGGGAGUGAAAAAGAACCUGAAACCGUGUACGUACAAGCAGUGGGAGCACGCUUAGGCGUGUGACUGCGUACCUUUUGUAUAAUGGGUCAGCGACUUAUAUUCUGUAGCAAGGUUAACCGAAUAGGGGAGCCGAAGGGAAACCGAGUCUUAACUGGGCGUUAAGUUGCAGGGUAUAGACCCGAAACCCGGUGAUCUAGCCAUGGGCAGGUUGAAGGUUGGGUAACACUAACUGGAGGACCGAACCGACUAAUGUUGAAAAAUUAGCGGAUGACUUGUGGCUGGGGGGGAAAGGCCAAUCAAACCGGGAGAUAGCUGGUUCUCCCCGAAAGCUAUUUAGGUAGCGCCUCGUGAAUUCAUCUCCGGGGGUAGAGCACUGUUUCGGCAAGGGGGUCAUCCCGACUUACCAACCCGAUGCAAACUGCGAAUACCGGAGAAUGUUAUCACGGGAGACACACGGCGGGUGCUAACGUCCGUCGUGAAGAGGGAAACAACCCAGACCGCCAGCUAAGGUCCCAAAGUCAUGGUUAAGUGGGAAACGAUGUGGGAAGGCCCAGACAGCCAGGAUGUUGGCUUAGAAGCAGCCAUCAUUUAAAGAAAGCGUAAUAGCUCACUGGUCGAGUCGGCCUGCGCGGAAGAUGUAACGGGGCUAAACCAUGCACCGAAGCUGCGGCAGCGACGCUUAUGCGUUGUUGGGUAGGGGAGCGUUCUGUAAGCCUGUGAAGGUGUGCUGUGAGGCAUGCUGGAGGUAUCAGAAGUGCGAAUGCUGACAUAAGUAACGAUAAAGCGGGUGAAAAGCCCGCUCGCCGGAAGACCAAGGGUUCCUGUCCAACGUUAAUCGGGGCAGGGUGAGUCGACCCCUAAGGCGAGGCCGAAAGGCGUAGUCGAUGGGAAACAGGUUAAUAUUCCUGUACUUGGUGUUAUUGCGAAGGGGGGACGGAGAAGGCUAUGUUGGCCGGGCGACGGUUGUCCCGGUUUAAGCGUGUAGGCUGGUUUUCCAGGCAAAUCCGGAAAAUCAAGGCUGAGGCGUGAUGACGAGGCACUACGGUGCUGAAGCAACAAAUGCCCUGCUUCCAGGAAAAGCCUCUAAGCAUCAGGUAACAUCAAAUCGUACCCCAAACCGACACAGGUGGUCAGGUAGAGAAUACCAAGGCGCUUGAGAGAACUCGGGUGAAGGAACUAGGCAAAAUGGUGCCGUAACUUCGGGAGAAGGCACGCUGAUAUGUAGGUGAAGCGACUUGCUCGUGGAGCUGAAAUCAGUCGAAGAUACCAGCUGGCUGCAACUGUUUAUUAAAAACACAGCACUGUGCAAACACGAAAGUGGACGUAUACGGUGUGACGCCUGCCCGGUGCCGGAAGGUUAAUUGAUGGGGUCAGCGCAAGCGAAGCUCUUGAUCGAAGCCCCGGUAAACGGCGGCCGUAACUAUAACGGUCCUAAGGUAGCGAAAUUCCUUGUCGGGUAAGUUCCGACCUGCACGAAUGGCGUAAUGAUGGCCAGGCUGUCUCCACCCGAGACUCAGUGAAAUUGAACUCGCUGUGAAGAUGCAGUGUACCCGCGGCAAGACGGAAAGACCCCGUGAACCUUUACUAUAGCUUGACACUGAACAUUGAGCCUUGAUGUGUAGGAUAGGUGGGAGGCUUAGAAGUGUGGACGCCAGUCUGCAUGGAGCCGACCUUGAAAUACCACCCUUUAAUGUUUGAUGUUCUAACGUGGACCCGUAAUCCGGGUUGCGGACAGUGUCUGGUGGGUAGUUUGACUGGGGCGGUCUCCUCCUAAAGAGUAACGGAGGAGCACGAAGGUUGGCUAAUCCUGGUCGGACAUCAGGAGGUUAGUGCAAUGGCAUAAGCCAGCUUGACUGCGAGCGUGACGGCGCGAGCAGGUGCGAAAGCAGGUCAUAGUGAUCCGGUGGUUCUGAAUGGAAGGGCCAUCGCUCAACGGAUAAAAGGUACUCCGGGGAUAACAGGCUGAUACCGCCCAAGAGUUCAUAUCGACGGCGGUGUUUGGCACCUCGAUGUCGGCUCAUCACAUCCUGGGGCUGAAGUAGGUCCCAAGGGUAUGGCUGUUCGCCAUUUAAAGUGGUACGCGAGCUGGGUUUAGAACGUCGUGAGACAGUUCGGUCCCUAUCUGCCGUGGGCGCUGGAGAACUGAGGGGGGCUGCUCCUAGUACGAGAGGACCGGAGUGGACGCAUCACUGGUGUUCGGGUUGUCAUGCCAAUGGCACUGCCCGGUAGCUAAAUGCGGAAGAGAUAAGUGCUGAAAGCAUCUAAGCACGAAACUUGCCCCGAGAUGAGUUCUCCCUGACUCCUUGAGAGUCCUGAAGGAACGUUGAAGACGACGACGUUGAUAGGCCGGGUGUGUAAGCGCAGCGAUGCGUUGAGCUAACCGGUACUAAUGAACCGUGAGGCUUAACCUU
Molecule: ribosomal RNA, 2902 nt
Filed under: Escherichia coli KTE222
Lineage: Bacteria; Pseudomonadati; Pseudomonadota; Gammaproteobacteria; Enterobacterales; Enterobacteriaceae
Description: bacterial LSU rRNA
Rfam family: Bacterial large subunit ribosomal RNA
Source: RNAcentral